GUCAAAGGUGGUGCGGCACCAUAAGUGCAGCAUCGUAUGCGCAAUACCUAAAACGAAGACGGUAGACAAG
This is a regulatory RNA element of Pseudomonas sp., 70 nucleotides long. It matches the Rfam family "sucC RNA". NCBI's taxonomy places the organism in Bacteria, Pseudomonadati, Pseudomonadota, Gammaproteobacteria, Pseudomonadales, Pseudomonadaceae. The record is from Rfam.